RNAcentral lists this ribosomal RNA (433 nucleotides) under uncultured bacterium. Its description in RNAcentral is "partial 16S ribosomal RNA". It matches the Rfam family "Bacterial small subunit ribosomal RNA", at positions 29 to 507 of the family's 1533-position model. The record is from RNAcentral.
AACGAACGCUGGCGGCAUGCCUAACACAUGCAAGUCGAACGAGACCUUCGGGUCUAGUGGCGCACGGGUGCGUAACGCGUGGGAACCUGCCCUUAGGUUCGGAAUAACUCCCCGAAAGGGGUGCUAAUACCGGAUAAUGUCUUCGGACCAAAGAUUUAUCGCCUUUGGAUGGGCCCGCGUUGGAUUAGCUAGUUGGUAGGGUAAAAGCCUACCAAGGCGACGAUCCAUAGCUGGGCUGAGAGGAUGAUCAGCCACACUGGGACUGAGACACGGCCCAGACUCCUACGGGAGGCAGCAGUGGGGAAUAUUGGACGAUGGGCGAAAGCCUGAUCCAGCAAUGCCGCGUGAGUGAUGAAGGCCUUAGGGUUGUAAAGCUCUUUUACCCGGGAUGAUAAUGACAGUACCGGGAGAAUAAGCGCCGGCUAACUCCGUG